This 253-nucleotide ribosomal RNA is filed under the name uncultured bacterium. RNAcentral describes it as "partial 16S ribosomal RNA". It matches the Rfam family "Bacterial small subunit ribosomal RNA", at positions 524 to 776 of the family's 1533-position model. The record is from RNAcentral.
UACGUAGGGGGCAAGCGUUGUCCGGAUUUAUUGGGCGUAAAGAGCGUGUAGGCGGCCAUACAGGUCCGUUGUGAAAACUCGAGGCUCAACCUCGAGACGUCGAUGGAAACCGUAUGGCUAGAGUCCGGAAGAGGAGAGUGGAAUUCCUGGUGUAGAGGUGAAAUUCGUAGAUAUCGGGAGGAACACCAGUGGCGAAGGCGGCGACCUGGGUAGAUACUGACGCUGAGGCGCGAAAGCGUGGGGAGCAAACAGA